GACGGGGGAUGCAAGCGUUAUCCGGAAUCACUGGGCGUAAAGCGUCUGUAGGUGGUGAUGCAAGUCACUGGUGCAAAACUCUGGCUCAACCGGAGGAAAGCCAGUGAAACUGCAUGACUAGAGUGUGGGAGAGGUAGAAGGAAUUCCCUGAGUAGCGGUGAAAUGCGUAGAGACAGGGAAGAACACCGGAGGCGAAAGCGUUCUACUGGAACACAACUGACACUGAGAGACGAAAGUUAGGGGAUCGAAUGGG
Molecule: ribosomal RNA, 253 nt
Filed under: uncultured bacterium
Lineage: Bacteria
Description: partial 16S ribosomal RNA
Rfam family: Bacterial small subunit ribosomal RNA
Source: RNAcentral